AUGACUUGGUACAGAGAGAGAGAGAGAGAGAAUGCUGCUUUAGGUUUCUUAGUAGUAAAAGGGAUGAUAUUUGAGAAGGGAGGGAUUUUCCUUCAUAGCUACCCUCUACUCACUAGCCUGAAAUACUGGAAAGAAGAUGAGGUUGUCAGUGUCACGUUCAAGAUGCAAAUAGUUGUCACAUGGGAGAGUCUUGGCAAGAGAGAAGUUUGUGCCAUCAGUUUGCAGUCCCCAUCCCUGCAUACUACAGAAGAGCUCUGGGAAGAGAAUAUCUACACCCAGGAGCAACUUUUCUCCUGGCUUGCCUCCCUGGUGAGUGUCAGUGACCCCCUUAGUACAGAUUUCAGAUCUGGACCAGAAUCAAACUCUGAACUUCUGCAAAGUUUGGUGAUCAUUAAGGUGGACUUGGGAUCAUAUGGGAAUGCACUGGAAAAUUUGGAGCUGUGUCCGAUACGAUUCAAGCAAUGGAGGAAGUUCAAGGCUGGUCUUCACAGCAUGUGCAUUCUCUUCUAA
This 510-nucleotide long non-coding RNA is filed under the name Numida meleagris (helmeted guineafowl). RNAcentral's name for it is "lncRNA (ENSNMEG00000019004.1)". Lineage: Eukaryota; Metazoa; Chordata; Aves; Galliformes; Numididae. The record is from RNAcentral.